UAAUUCUCUAGUGGCGCACGGGUGAGUAACACGUGAGUAACCUGCCCCCGAGAGCGGGAUAGCCCUGGGAAACUGGGAUUAAUACCGCAUAGUAUCGAAAGAUUAAAGCGGCAAUGCGCUUGGGGAUGGGCUCGCGGCCUAUUAGUUAGUUGGUGAGGUAACGGCUCACCAAGGCGAUGACGGGUAGCCGGUCUGAGAGGAUGUCCGGCCACACUGGAACUGAGACACGGUCCAGACACCUACGGAAGGCAGCAG
This 255-nucleotide ribosomal RNA is filed under the name uncultured bacterium. RNAcentral's name for it is "partial 16S ribosomal RNA". It matches the Rfam family "Bacterial small subunit ribosomal RNA", at positions 85 to 354 of the family's 1533-position model. The record is from RNAcentral.